AAAAGUAUUUCGGUAUUCGUUUUCCAGAUUUUGUUUUCAUUUGUUUGCUUUUGUUGGGAUUUUAAUUCGUAUGCCAUGCCACCUGAAAACUGUUAAUGUGCGCAACUAAUUAAAAGGCCAUUAAUUCUCUCACAUUUUCCGGUUACAUUUGGCUUCUUCAUUCAACACGCUCGCUCUCCGCCCAGUACACAACAGAGCGGAACACAACGGAACACAACCUCAAAAAUCAAAGGAACAGAACAUAUUUUGCAGUCUAGUAAAUAAUGCUGAGAGUAACCAAAGGCAUUCUCAGAAUGCCGAACCAAACCAGACAAGACCAGACCACACCAGACACCAGGCCAGCACUAGGCCAGCACCCGGGCCCGUUCCCGGGCAGGCAGCAUAGAAAAGCCAGCGAAGCGUUAGAACAAUUUCCAUUCUAAUGGCCAAGACACCCAGCUACUCGUACACUCGGGCACACAAAGAAAAAUAUUAAAACCGAACAAAACACUCGACACGCGAUGCCCAAAAAUUGGAGAAACCGCAGCAUUUAAUUAUUUUGCGAUAAAAGUUUUCACAAUUCAAUCAAUUCAACAUUUUCAGAGGCAGCCUGUGGCCUGCCCACCGCAUACAACGUGGCGUAUGCGUGUUUUUUACGCUGUGUGCUCUCUGGAUAUGAGAUGACAGAUCGUGGAAGAAUUUGCCUAGACGAAUACAAUAUUGUUUGGGAAAUACAGUAUUCCGCUGAACGGAAACGAAAGAA
Drosophila miranda is the source of this 742-nucleotide long non-coding RNA. RefSeq lists it as uncharacterized. NCBI's taxonomy places the organism in Eukaryota, Metazoa, Arthropoda, Insecta, Diptera, Drosophilidae. The transcript has 2 exons. The record is from RefSeq and is a predicted model, not a curated record.